This 210-nucleotide ribosomal RNA is filed under the name uncultured bacterium. RNAcentral describes it as "partial 16S ribosomal RNA". It matches the Rfam family "Bacterial small subunit ribosomal RNA", at positions 1291 to 1500 of the family's 1533-position model. The record is from RNAcentral.
GUUCAGAUUGCAGGCUGCAACUCGCCUGCAUGAAGUCGGAAUUGCUAGUAAUCGUAGGUCAGCAUACUACGGUGAAUACGUUCCCGGGCCUUGUACACACCGCCCGUCAAACCAUGAGAGUUGGCAACACCCGAAGUCGGUAGUCUAACCGCAAGGAGGACGCCGCCGAAGGUGGGGUUGAUGAUUAGGGUUAAGUCGUAACAAGGUACC